CAGUCGCCGCGGGAAUACGGAGGGAGCUAGCGUUAUUCGGAAUUACUGGGCGUAAAGCGCACGUAGGCGGCUUUGUAAGUUAGAGGUGAUAGCCUGGAGCUCAACUCCAGAAUUGCCUUUAAGACUGCAUCGCUUGAAUCCAGGAGAGGUGAGUGGAAUUCCGAGUGUAGAGGUGAAAUUCGUAGAUAUUCGGAAGAACACCAGUGGCGAAGGCGGCUCACUGGACUGGUAUUGACGCUGAGGUGCGAAAGCGUGGGGAGCAAACAGGAUUAGAUACCCGUGUAGUCCCUGUCUCUUAUAC
RNAcentral lists this ribosomal RNA (301 nucleotides) under uncultured bacterium. Its description in RNAcentral is "partial 16S ribosomal RNA". It matches the Rfam family "Bacterial small subunit ribosomal RNA", at positions 509 to 807 of the family's 1533-position model. The record is from RNAcentral.